Molecule: ribosomal RNA, 563 nt
Filed under: uncultured Bifidobacterium sp.
Lineage: Bacteria; Bacillati; Actinomycetota; Actinomycetes; Bifidobacteriales; Bifidobacteriaceae
Description: bacterial SSU rRNA
Rfam family: Bacterial small subunit ribosomal RNA
Source: RNAcentral
UCUCCUGGAAACGGGUGGUAAUGCCGGAUGUUCACAUGAGCGCAUGCGAGUGUGGGAAAGGCUUUUUGCGGCAUGGGAUGGGGUCGCGUCCUAUCAGCUUGUUGGUGGGGUAACGGCCUACCAAGGCGUUGACGGGUAGCCGGCCUGAGAGGGCGACCGGCCACAUUGGGACUGAGAUACGGCCCAGACUCCUACGGGAGGCAGCAGUGGGGAAUAUUGCACAAUGGGCGCAAGCCUGAUGCAGCGACGCCGCGUGCGGGAUGGAGGCCUUCGGGUUGUAAACCGCUUUUGUUCAAGGGCAAGGCACGGUUUCGGCCGUGUUGAGUGGAUUGUUCGAAUAAGCACCGGCUAACUACGUGCCAGCAGCCGCGGUAAUACGUAGGGUGCAAGCGUUAUCCGGAUUUAUUGGGCGUAAAGGGCUCGUAGGCGGUUCGUCGCGUCCGGUGUGAAAGUCCAUCGCUUAACGGUGGAUCCGCGCCGGGUACGGGCGGGCUUGAGUGCGGUAGGGGAGACUGGAAUUCCCGGUGUAACGGUGGAAUGUGUAGAUAUCGGGAAGAACACCA